CAGCCGCCGCGGUAAUACCGGCGGCCCGAGUGGCGGUCACUAUUAUUGGGCCUAAAGCGUCCGUAGCCGGGCUGGUAAGUCCUCCGGGAAAUCUGGUCGCUUAACGAUCAGACUUCCGGAGGAUACUGCUGGCCUAGGGACCGGGAGAGGCCGAGGGUAUUCCCGGGGGAGGGGUGAAAUCCUAUAAUCCCGGGAGGACCACCUGUGGCGAAGGCGCUCGGCUGGAACGGGUGCGACGGUGAGGGACGACGGCCAGGGGAGCAAAGCGGAUUAGAUACCCGGGUAGUCCUGGCUGUAAACGAUGCGGACGUUGUGUCGGACAAGCUAUGAGCUUGUCCGGUGCCGGAGGGAAACCGUUAAGUCCGCCGCCUGGGGAGUACGGCCGCAAGGCUGAAACUUAAAGGAAUUGGCGGG
Molecule: ribosomal RNA, 414 nt
Filed under: uncultured microorganism
Description: bacterial SSU rRNA
Rfam family: Archaeal small subunit ribosomal RNA
Source: RNAcentral